This 702-nucleotide long non-coding RNA is filed under the name Homo sapiens (human). Its description in RNAcentral is "long independently transcribed non-coding RNA 2327, transcript variant 10 (LINC02327)". The record is from RNAcentral. Lineage: Eukaryota; Metazoa; Chordata; Mammalia; Primates; Hominidae.
AUUCUCCUGCCUCAGCUUCCGGAGCAGCUGGGACUGCUGGCGCCCGCCACUACGCUCGGCUAAUUUUUUUGUGUUUUUAGUAGAGACGGGCUUUCACCGUGUUGGCCUAGCGGUUCUCCAACUCCUGACCUCAUGAUCCCCCCGCCUCAGCCUCCCAAAGUGCUGGGAUUACAAGCGUGAGCCACCGCGACCCGCCAACACUCUUGACAACAGUGCUGUGCUAAGAACUUGGGGGACUUCAAAAAGUUCACCAGUUCCUGUGUCCAUGGGUGAAAAGAUUUUCUACAUCUUUCCUUGACUAGAAACAGAAGUCCUGAAACAAGCAUUUUAAAAAGGUUGUACAUCUAGCAAUACCUAACAAAAUAGGAAAUCAACUUGGAAAGCCAAUGGCUGUGUUUUGAGUUUAUGGAGAGCCAUAUGUGGCAAGGAACUGAGGGUGGCAUCCAGGCAACAGACUUCAAGAAACUGAGGCUGUCAGUCCAACAACCCACAAGAACUGAAUCUGACCAACAAUCACAGGAACAAACUUAGAAGUAUACUCUUUCCCAGACAAACCUUCAGAUGAGACCACAGCCCCAGCCAUAAGCUUGAAAACAAUCUCAUGAGGGACCUUGAGCCACAGGCAUGUAGUAAAGCUAUGCCAGGAAUCCUGCCUGCCCCACAGAAAAUGUAAAAAAAAUAAAUUUUUAUUGUUUUAAGCCA